This 74-nucleotide transfer RNA is filed under the name Thermoleophilaceae bacterium. RNAcentral describes it as "tRNA-Ile". It matches the Rfam family "tRNA". Rfam says of the family: Transfer RNA (tRNA) molecules are approximately 80 nucleotides in length. The record is from RNAcentral. Lineage: Bacteria; Bacillati; Actinomycetota; Thermoleophilia; Thermoleophilales; Thermoleophilaceae.
GGGCGAUUAGCUCAGCUGGUUAGAGCGCGUCUCUGAUAAGGACGAGGUCCCAGGUUCGAGUCCUGGAUCGCCCA